Podarcis lilfordi (Lilford's wall lizard) is the source of this 304-nucleotide non-coding RNA. The record is from the annotation of a GenBank genome assembly. Lineage: Eukaryota; Metazoa; Chordata; Lepidosauria; Squamata; Lacertidae.
AUUCCAGAGCCUUUUCAAUGGAGGACUUUUCAUUACAACCUCUGUGGCCGAGAGUCUCUUAAAAACAAUCCAUUAAGGCUUUUAUGUGAAUUUCACCUGGAUGAACCAAACAACAAGGUGCUUGGGAUUAGAACAACGAAUAGUCCAGCUUUGUUUAAAAAUAAUUAUGAACCAGUGUGGGAAAAGUUAUGAUAAAUCUACAAACUUGCUCUUGCUUACAGCUCUAGGUACUAGGAAGAGUUAAUGCAGCUGACACACUUUCAGCUAAUACCAAACAAAUUAAACUUUUGCAUGUUGAAGAAUG